Molecule: ribosomal RNA, 301 nt
Filed under: uncultured bacterium
Lineage: Bacteria
Description: partial 16S ribosomal RNA
Rfam family: Bacterial small subunit ribosomal RNA
Source: RNAcentral
CAGCAGCCGCGGGAAUACGUAGGGUGCGAGCGUUAAUCGGAAUUACUAGGCGUAAAGCGUGCGCAGGCGGUUUUGUAAGACAGGCGUGAAAUCCCCGGGCUCAACCUGGGAAUGGCGCUUGUGACUGCAAAGCUAGAGUGCGGCAGAGGGAGAUGGAAUUCCGCGUGUAGCAGUGAAAUGCGUAGAUAUGCGGAGGAACACCGAUGGCGAAGGCAAUCCCCUGGGCCUGCACUGACGCUCAUGCACGAAAGCGUGGGGAGCAAACAGGAUUAGAUACCCGGGUAGUCCCUGUCUCUUAUAC